AACUUUCAACAAUGGAUCUCUUGGCUCUGGCAUCGAUGAAGAACGCAGCGAAAUGCGAUAAGUAGUGUGAAUUGCAGAAUUCAGUGAAUCAUCGAAUCUUUGAACGCACAUUGCGCCCCUUGGUAUUCCAUGGGGCAUGCCUGUUCGAGCGUCAUCUACACCCUCAAGCUCUGCUUGGUGUUGGGCGUCUGUCCCCGCCUCUGCGCGGCGGACUCGCCCCAAAUUCAUUGGCAGCGGUGUCUUUUUGCCUCAGUCUCGCGCAGCACAUUGCGCUUGCAGCACUGUCGGCGGCCCGCGAUCCAGCAAGCUCCUUUCACCGUCUUUGACCUCGGAUCAGGUAGGGAUACCCGCUGAACUUAAGCAUAUCAAUAAGCGGAGGAAAAGAAACCAACAGGGAUUGCCCUAGUAACGGCGAGUGAAGCGGCAACAGCUCAAAUUUGAAAUCUGGCCUCCUUUGGGGGUCCGAGUUGUAAUUUGCAGAGGGUGCUUUGGCAUUGGCGGCGGUCUAAGUUCCUUGGAACAGGACAUCGCAGAGGGUGAGAAUCCCGUACGUGGGCGCCUGCCUUUGCCGUGUAAAGCCCCUUCGACGAGUCGAGUUGUUUGGGAAUGCAGCUCUAAAUGGGAGGUAAAUUUCUUCUAAAGCUAAAUACCGGCCAGAGACCGAUAGCGCACAAGUAGAGUGAUCGAAAGAUGAAAAGUACUUUGGAAAGAGAGUCAAAUAGCACGUGAAAUUGUUGAAAGGGAAGCGCUUGCAGCCAGACUUGCCCGCAGUUGCUCACCUAGGCUUUGGCCUGGGGCACUCUUCUGCGGGCAGGCCAGCAUCAGUUUGGGCGGUUGGAUAAAGGCCUCUGUCACGUAUCUCCCUUCGGGGUGACCUUAUAGGGGAGGCGUAAUGCAACCAGCCCGGACUGAGGUCCGCGCAUCUGCUAGGAUGCUGGCGUAAUGGCUGUAAGCGGCCCGUCUUGAAACACGGACCAAGGAGUCUAACAUCUAUGCGAGUGUUUGGGUGUCAAGCCCGGGCGCGCAAUGAAAGUGAACGGAGGUGGGAACCCUUCGGGGUGCACCAUCGACCGAUCCUGAUGUCUUCGGAUGGAUUUGAGUAAGAGCAUAGCUGUUGGGACCCGAAAGAUGGUGAACUAUGCUUGAAUAGGGUGAAGCCAGAGGAAACUCUGGUGGAGGCUCGCAGCGGUUCUGACGUGCAAAUCGAUCGUCAAAUUUGGGCAUAGGGGCGAAAGACUAAUCGAACCAUCUAGUAGCUGGUUCCUGC
This 1267-nucleotide unclassified non-coding RNA is filed under the name uncultured Dothideomycetes. RNAcentral's name for it is "sequence contains 5.8S rRNA gene, ITS2, 28S rRNA gene". The stretch from base 324 to 1267 matches the Rfam family "Eukaryotic large subunit ribosomal RNA", at positions 1 to 961 of the family's 3401-position model. Lineage: Eukaryota; Fungi; Ascomycota; Dothideomycetes. The record is from RNAcentral.